Hibiscus syriacus is the source of this 775-nucleotide long non-coding RNA. RefSeq lists it as uncharacterized. The transcript has 4 exons. Lineage: Eukaryota; Viridiplantae; Streptophyta; Magnoliopsida; Malvales; Malvaceae. The record is from RefSeq and is a predicted model, not a curated record.
GUGGGAACUAACUAGUGACUUGAAGCAGCUGGAUAACAAAAUCUCUAGAAAAGAAAGUUUGCAUUUUAUUUAGUGGGUUUGCUGUUUUAUAGGAAUUUUCUUUUUGAGUUCCUUCUCUUAACAUGUAUAUUUUCACAGUUACCACCAAUAUCAAUUGGAGAAAACGUGCUGGACCUGGUGGCUAUUGGUUGUGGUCCAGCUGGUCUUGCUCUUGCUGCGGAGUCUGCUAAGCUGGGUUUAAAUGUUGGACUAAUUGGACCUGAUCUUCCUUUCACCAACAAUUAUGGAGUCUGGGAAGAUGAGUUUAAAGAUCUUGGACUUGAAAGAUGUAUUGAUAAUGUUUGGCGUGAUGCUAUUGUAUACCUUGAUGAUGAUAAGCCUAUUAUGAUUGGCCGUGCUUAUGGACGUGUUAGUCGACGCUUGCUCAUGAGGAGUUGUUGAGGAGGUGUGUCGAGUCAGGUGUAAUGUAUCUUAACUCAAAGGUAGAGACAAUUAUUGAAGCUACCGAUGGUCAUAAUCUCGUAGCUUGUGGACACAAUCGUGUUGUUCCUUGCAGGCUUGUUACUGUUGCUUCAGGAGCAGCUUCAGGUAAACUGUUGCAGUAUGAGGUAGGGGGUCCAAGAAUCUCCGUUCAAACAGCUUAUGGCAUCGAGGUUGAGCUAUGUAUGGUGUGGAAACUUCAAUUGUUAACAAUCAUAUAUCUUUGCCUUUGUUAUUUUUAUCUUAUUGCAGCAUGACCAAAAAAUUGCAGUUUAAGAGGGCGAUGGGAGAAAAA